This 253-nucleotide ribosomal RNA is filed under the name uncultured bacterium. RNAcentral describes it as "partial 16S ribosomal RNA". It matches the Rfam family "Bacterial small subunit ribosomal RNA", at positions 524 to 776 of the family's 1533-position model. The record is from RNAcentral.
UACGUAGGUGGCAAGCGUUGUCCGGAUUUAUUGGGUUUAAAGGGUGCGUAGGCGGUCAAUUAAGUCAGGGGUGAAAUACGGCAGCUUAACUGUCGAGGUGCCAUUGAUACUGGUUGACUUGAGUACUGAUGAGGUAGGCGGAAUGGACGGUGUAGCGGUGAAAUGCUUAGAGAUCGUCCAGAACACCGAUAGCGAAGGCAGCUUACUAAGGAGUAACUGACGCUGAGGCACGAAAGUGUGGGGAUCAAACAGG